Molecule: ribosomal RNA, 1276 nt
Filed under: metagenome
Description: SSU rRNA
Rfam family: Eukaryotic small subunit ribosomal RNA
Source: RNAcentral
UGCAUCAAGACCCGACGCAAGGACGGUCGCAUUUAUUAGAACAAAACCAUCCGGUCUCCGGACCGUACUUUGGUGACUCUGAAUAACUGAGCAAAUCACAUGGUCUCGCACCGGUGAUGUAUCUUUCAAGUGUCAGCCUUAUCAACUUUCGAUGGUAGUUUAUGUGCCUACCAUGGUUGUAACGGGUAACGGAGAAUCAGGGUUUGACUCCGGAGAGGGAGCCUGAGAAACGGCUACCACUUCUAAGGAAGGCAGCAGGCGCGCAAAUUACCCAUUCUCGGUACGAGGAGGUAGUGACGAAAAAUACCAAGCCGAGGCUCAUUGAGUUUCGGCAUUGGAAUGAGAACAAUCCAAAUCUUUUAACGAGGAUCUAGUGGAGGGCAAGUCUGGUGUCAGCAGCCGCGGUAAUUCCAGCUCCGCAAGUGUAUAUCUAUUUUGCUGAGUUUAAAAAGCUCGUGGUUGGAUCUGCGUGUUCAGCAUCUGGUGCGGUCUCUGGCCGCUACUGGAAUGCGACACAUCGAAUGCCGGUUUGCCGUUGAUGCUCUUCAUCGGGUGUCAGCGGUGGCUGGUGAGUUUACUUUGAACAAAUUAGAGUGCUCAACGCAGGCGUUUCGCUUGUAUAUUUCUGCAUGGAAUAAUAGAAUAGGACCUCGGUUCUAUUUUGUUGGUUUUCGGAAGUGAGGUAAUGGUUAAGAGGGACUGACGGGGGCAUUCGUACUGCGACGUGAGAGGUGAAAUUCUUGGAUCGUCUCAAGACGCACUACUGCGAAGGCAUUUGCCAAGAAUGUUUUCAUUAAUCAAGAACGAAAGUAACGGGUUCGAAGGCGAUCAGAUACCGCCCUAGUCGUUACCGUAAACAAUAUUGACUGGGAGCAUGUCGGAGUUUCCAAGAACCCGAUAUGAACCCAACGGGAAACCUCAAGUUCAAUUACUGGGGGAGUACGAUUGCAAAUUCGAAACUUAAAGGAAUUGACGGAAGGGCACCACCAGGGGUGGAGCCUGCGGCUUAAUUUGACCCAACACGGGGAAACUCACCCGGCCCGGACACCGGAAGGAUUGACAGAUUGAGAGCUCUUUCUUGAUUCGGUGGGUGGUGGUGCAUGGCCGUUCUUAGUUGGUGGAGUGAUUUGUCUGGUUAAUUCCGAUAACGAACGAGACUCUGGCCUACUAAAUAGUCGUCGGAUCGCUUCAGUCCGACUGACUUCUUAGAGGGACAAGCAGUGCUUAGCUGCAUGAAAAAGAGCAAUAACAGGUCUGUGAUGCCCUUAGAUGUCCG